This 368-nucleotide ribosomal RNA is filed under the name uncultured organism. RNAcentral describes it as "bacterial SSU rRNA". It matches the Rfam family "Bacterial small subunit ribosomal RNA", at positions 526 to 896 of the family's 1533-position model. The record is from RNAcentral.
CGGAGGGUGCAAGCGUUAUCCGGAUUUACUGGGUUUAAAGGGUGCGUAGGUGGGUUUGUAAGUCAGUGGUGAAAUCUCCGAGCUUAACUCGGAAACUGCCAUUGAUACUAUAGAUCUUGAAUUAUCUGGAGGUAAGCGGAAUAUGUCAUGUAGCGGUGAAAUGCUUAGAUAUUACAUAGAACACCAAUUGCGAAGGCAGCUUACUACGGAUAUAUUGACACUGAGGCACGAAAGCGUGGGGAUCAAACAGGAUUAGAUACCCUGGUAGUCCACGCCCUAAACGAUGGAUACUCGACAUCAGCGAUACACUGUUGGUGUCUGAGCGAAAGCAUUAAGUAUCCCACCUGGGAAGUACGAUCGCAAGAUUG